GAGUUGCUGCUAUAUCAUGGUAGAUGUUAAUUUAAUUAACCUACUUAAUCCUAUGUUGUUGUCUUGCCUUGAUGUUUUUGGUUGUUGUGAGCUUGCAAGUACAUUCAAUGUACUGACCUGGCGUGUCAUGCCAGAUUGCAGGUGAUGCCGUGAUUGCUUGAUUUCUUGUCGUGGUUUCCGUUCGUGCGAGCUAGAUCGUGUCCCAGCCAGAGUCCAUGUGGAGUGGAGUUCACCACCUUCGUCGUUGUUCCGCUGCUAGAAGAUUUCCGCUGCUACGAGUUGUUCUGCUUCUAGCAUAGAGCAAGUGUAGUAUCGCAGGCGUAGUGUCGCCAUGCUGAUGUGCUCCUUUGUAACAUCAGACCUUUGUAUGUGUUCUUGUAAUAAGAGCUGAUUUGUUCUAUGUCAAGCAGUGCCGUAUUCCAGAAGACUUCAUCUCGAUCUCUGGGCUGGAAGACGGGGCGUUCUGGUUUCUCUGAGCCGGGGUGCCACAGGCUUGAUAUCAUAGUAGGUCUGGCUAUAGGACGCCUAGUUAGCGCGAGCGGUAGAAACCGUUAGAAAGCGGUAAUAUAGAGUCUGGUGUGUUUAUUGCAUUUGGUUGCUGCAUUUGUUUGUUGCAUAGCAUGCAUGUAGUCUUAGUAUUUGUUAUAAAGGUUUAUCUAGUGAGUGUAGUUGGCAUCGGUUCGGAUCCACUACAGCUCAACCUUUGCAUUUUUUCAGUUCCUUUUUCUUUCGGUGUUUGGUGUCAAUUCUGUCCCAGCAGAGUGACACCAAGUGAUCCCGACACUGUUUGCAAAAAUGGUUCUCAGGUAUCGCGCCCAUGUCUUUCUUUCAGUCUCGUCUAUCAUUUCGGUGAUGGACAUGUUUCUACCCCGGAUCGUUCUUUUAUUUUGUCAUGUUGGCAACCCUUAAUGAUCUUAGUUAUCAAGAAAGGGCAAUGUCAGCAGCCUCAGUUUUUUUCCCUGCUAUCCUAUUUUUGGACGAGUAUGGAUCUUUUUCUGUCCGCUUGAUAAUAAUGUAGUUGCGACCUUCAUGUCCCACUGCAUGAUUACCGAGUGCGUCCUUGCCUCCGAGCUAGUUCAGGUUGCUAUCUGGCUAAGCUAGCACUUGGUGUAGCGCUGUUUACACCAACUCUUCCACACAUUUAUUCGUCAUCGUGCACAUCGUCACAGCAUGCUAGAUCGUAGAACCGGAGAUCCCGUGAAAUUUGUGUGCUUAAGUAGGCAUGCAUAUUGUGUGACUAGCAGUAAUAUGUGACAUUGAUUGUGUGUGAUUUUUUUGUUGUUGUGUGCUUUUGUUUAGUUGAGUUUUCUUUUGCUUCUUUCUUUUUGGGCCCCGGUGUUACAUUAUUUUUCCCUAUAAAGAGUCGCUCAUCCACCGACACCAGACCGAAAGAAGCAUUAAAGAUUUGAAAUUUUUGAAAGAAUCUCAGCUAGACAUUAUUGUCUACCCAGUCAACUGCAUUAUGGGAUUAAUUAUCAGCAUCGAGUCCCCAUCAGUGCAAAAUCCUCACAGCAGUUAUGAUCCAGCCAACAGAAAGACAAGUCAAGUACAAGACCAAUGAUAUAUUUUCAGACAGAGGUAUGGAUCAUAUAAAGAGUUUUGGCUUAGCAAUGCAUGAUGCUUGAAAUAUGUUAUCAUUCGAAAUAAAAUCAGAAUAUGAUAUGCUCAAGGAAGAUAGUCGAACCAUUUUUCUCAUGCAAAUAAUCAGCCUCAGAAUAGUAUGGGCAUGUGCAUGGAUUUCAUUCUGCAUAUCCGUAUGAAGUUGUGAAUAUAAGAAACCCAGUAUUCUUCCACAUGCUAUUGGAAGAAUUCAUGAUGCAAGGCUCCUCAACUUUUCCUCCUUAUGAUAUGUGAACAAUUUCCGGUCCAUGAUACCCAGUCUUUCACAUCAAGACACCUUAGUAAAGGCUUCUGACAUAUGGAAAUGAAUUUUUUUUAUUCUCAACAAGCUAACCCGAGGAGAGGCUUCUCAAGUAUGGAACUCAGGCUUCUCCAGCACAAUAAUCAGACCAAGCUUCGUGUGUAAGCUAUAGACCUUUUGCUGCACAAUACACAGACAAAAUAUUUAAGCAGAAGUUAACAAGUCUUCCUCAGCAAGCUACUCAGAUGGCUUCUCUUGUAAGCCACUCAGUCCGCGUCAGUACCACAAUAUUGCACCAUCCUCUGAGAUUAUAUGAUGAGUUGCCGAUGUAUGGCAGUACUGCUCAAGGACCAGAUUUGCAAUAAUUUUGUCAGAGGUAAAAUUCAGACAAAACAGAUGCCUACCGCAAGGAUCGAGUGAUCGGUGGCAUAUCCUUCUUAUAUGUGGUGAGCAUGCAUCCCCAGUCAUAUCAGUAACUCAUACAAGAUGCGUCAAAGAUCCAGCAGAUAUACCUAAGAAAAGUAAGGAUCCCACAACCUCCCCAGUCAGGCAAAGGAAAAUAAGAAAAAAAUACAUCUCAUGUGAUGCAAGGAGCGAUAAUAUUUGGAGAUGACAUCACAAAAUCCACAGUCUUGACAAUGGUCAUCAAGAUCAUUAUUCCCGCAAUUGACAAGGAGAUAUUAUAAAAUCUUGUUACCUUCUUGUAUGAUUGGCCUCAGCAAUGAGCUCCGUAUGGCUACAAACCCCGGGUAUAUGUCAUAUGUGUGCGGACCCAGAUUAGAAAACAAGCACAAGGACUAAUGUCAAAAAUAUUGCACUAAUCGCAUCCAUGGUCAUACGAAGAAUCAAGGACAGGUGUGGCCAAGUUGUUUCAGUAAGGUAUCCUAACAAAGAAAAUUAUGACCGUAAAAAGAAUGAGACUGACAGCAAAGCAUGAUGAUUUUUGCACGACCAUCAGGGUCCGGAUACCCAAAUCAGUUGGAGGCCAUAAUCCCAUAUGGAUCCACAAUGUCAUACUCUCAGUGGCCUACUCUAUUUACAAGGAUUUUUCAUAUCCCGCUGACCCUCUUGACAUGGUUAGUGUGGAAUAUCCAAGUCUGUUCUGUCAGAUCCAAGAUUCCUUUGCAACCUCAGCAGUCUGACUUCAGCGACAAUGUUAAAAUAUAUCACAUCCUAUUACCACAGAUGGGUAUAUCAACCACAUGAGAAAAAUCAAAAGCCGAACAAUCAGCUCAGACCCAGUAUACUCACCGACGGAAUCAAUUACAUGGUCAGUCUGUCAGGAAAGGCAAUUGUCCGUCAGCCCCUGUCGGGCCAAUCUCAAGAUGUAAAUAAUUGAAGUAUGGCACAGCUAUAACUCCAUACACUGUUAUAUUGCUCACGACAGAAGGCAGUCAAAUAUUUGGUACAUAUCCCAUGCUCGAGCCAAGGAAAUAAAUCAAGAUAAAUCAGUGCCACCUGUUAGAAGUCAGAUCCCAUCAGAAGAUGGUCAUGAUAAUUCUUAGCAUUUAUUGAAACCAGAAGGCCUGCAUUUAUUUGAAGCAACCACAUGACAAAAGUAAAAAGGUUUUCAUGAUCAAAAGAAAAAUUAUGCUCAGAUCCAUUGGAUACCACCGCAGAUAUGAGAAAAUUCAUGUCAGUAAAAGGAUUCGGUAUGUGAGCAAAAAUCCAUCAGAAUUUGUGGAAAGGUGAAGCAAACCACCCCAGAGGAAUCUAAGUUGAUCAUCUGAAAUCCUUGUGGAACAAUACAUAAAGGAAAAAGGAUACCCAAGUUGGAGACGGUGUCCUCAAGUCAUACUGUUUGUAACAGCCUCUAACGAGGGAAGGUUAUGGGCGCGCGCUACCCUGAUCAGGUAGGCGGACAUAAGCCUUGUGUGCCCGGUUUUGAUUUGAUUUUGCGCGAGGAUCCCAGAGUGGAUCGGGCCACGACAGUGGUCGUUGUGUCUGGAGGUAGACACAGGGCCACCCAUGACUUAGCCCAGAGGGGAGUGAGUCGGAGUGGCCGAGAGAGUGUCAUGGCAGUAGAUCGGUUUUGUCGGAAUGCCAUUGGUCCACCCGAAUGGGAGUGUGAGGCCAUGGGUUCUGUGGUGUGGGUACAGUGCGCUACCUCUGCAGAGUGUGUGUUUAACCUAUCGAUAGCCGCGUCCUUGGUCAUGGGCAUGGGAUCGUACUAGGGUACACCGUUCAAUCAACACUCACAUGAUAGAAUGACUUAUAGGUGACGGAUAUGUGGAUAUUUGGAGUAGUACAGAUUGGCCAUUUAUUGGUCGGGUUGUCAUCGCCGUAAGGAUCACGGGCCAUUUAUUGGUCGGGUUGUGAUCAUCGUAAGGAUCACGGGACAUUCAUUGGUCGGGUUGUGAUCGCCGUAAGGAUCACGAGCCAUUCAUUGGUCGGGUUGUGAUCGCCGUAAGGAUCACGAUUACAGUUUGGUUUUGAUCAUGACGUGAUCGAGAUGGUAUAUAUCUUGGCCGGUUAGCCAAGAGAGAUAUGGUUAUGGAGAUCGGAGAUGGUGAUUUAUCAGUAUUGUAGUAGUUUCAUAUUAUGCUUAGGAGUUGUUGUUAUAUCAUGGUAGUUGUUAAUUUAAUUAACCUGCUUAAUGCUAUGUUGUUGUCUUGCCUUGAUGUUUUUGGUUGUUGUGAGCUUGCAAGUACAUUCAAUGUACUGACCUGGUGUGUCAUGCCAGAUUGUAGGUGAUGCCGUGAUUAAUUGCUUGAUUACUUGUCGUGGUUUCCGUUCGUGCGAGCUAGACCGUGUCCCAGCCAGAGUCCCUGCGGAGUGGAGUUCACCACCUUCGUCGUUGUUCCGCUGCUAGAAGAUUUC
RNAcentral lists this long non-coding RNA (4681 nucleotides) under Triticum aestivum (bread wheat). RNAcentral describes it as "long non-coding RNA (TAES_LNC002666)". The record is from RNAcentral. Lineage: Eukaryota; Viridiplantae; Streptophyta; Magnoliopsida; Poales; Poaceae.